UACGAAGGGGGCUAGCGUUGUUCGGAAUUAUUGGGCGUAAAGGGCGCGUAGGCGGCUAGAUGUGUCAAAGGUGAAAUCCCUCGGCUCAACUGAGGAACUGCCUUUGAAACUGUCUGGCUUGAGGCCGGGAGAGGGUAGCGGAAUUCCCAGUGUAGCGGUGAAAUGCGUAGAUAUUGGGAGGAACACCAGUGGCGAAGGCGGUUCUCUGGGCAUUACCUGACGCUGAGGAGCGAAAGUGUGGGGAGCGAACAGG
RNAcentral lists this ribosomal RNA (253 nucleotides) under uncultured bacterium. RNAcentral describes it as "partial 16S ribosomal RNA". It matches the Rfam family "Bacterial small subunit ribosomal RNA", at positions 524 to 776 of the family's 1533-position model. The record is from RNAcentral.